GGGCGCUUAGCUCAGCGGGAGAGCGCACCCAUUUACUUGGGUGAGGUCUCAGGUUCGAUCCCUGACGCGCCCACCA
This 76-nucleotide transfer RNA is filed under the name Rhodospirillales bacterium URHD0017. RNAcentral's name for it is "tRNA_Undet_???". It matches the Rfam family "tRNA". Rfam says of the family: Transfer RNA (tRNA) molecules are approximately 80 nucleotides in length. Their secondary structure includes four short double-helical elements and three loops (D, anti-codon, and T loops). Lineage: Bacteria; Pseudomonadati; Pseudomonadota; Alphaproteobacteria; Rhodospirillales. The record is from RNAcentral.